AACGAACGCUGGCGGCAUGCCUAACACAUGCAAGUCGAACGAGACCUUCGGGUCUAGUGGCGCACGGGUGCGUAACGCGUGGGAACCUGCCCUUAGGUUCGGAAUAACUCCCCGAAAGGGGUGCUAAUACCGGAUAAUGUCUUCGGACCAAAGAUUUAUCGCCUUUGGAUGGGCCCGCGUUGGAUUAGCUAGUUGGUAGGGUAAAAGCCUACCAAGGCGACGAUCCAUAGCUGGUCUGAGAGGAUGAUCAGCCACACUGGGACUGAGACGCGGCCAGAAUCCUACGGGAGGGAGCAGUGGGGAAUAUUGGACAAUGGGCGAAAGCCAGAUCCAGCAAUGCCGCGUGAGUGAUGAAGGCCUUAGGGUAAUAAAGCUCUUUUACCCGGGAUGAUAAUGACAGUACCGGGAGAAUAAGCUCCGGCUAACUCCGUGC
Molecule: ribosomal RNA, 433 nt
Filed under: uncultured bacterium
Lineage: Bacteria
Description: partial 16S ribosomal RNA
Rfam family: Bacterial small subunit ribosomal RNA
Source: RNAcentral